UUGCCCUAGUAACGGCGAGUGAAGCGGCAACAGCUCAAAUUUGAAAUCUGGCUUCGGCCCGAGUUGUAAUUUGCAGAGGAAGCUUUGGGCGCGGCACCGACUGAGUCCCCUGGAACGGGGCGCCAUAGAGGGUGAGAGCCCCGUAUAGUCGGACGCUAAGCCUGUGUAAAGCUCCUUCGACGAGUCGAGUAGUUUGGGAAUGCUGCUCAAAAUGGGAGGUAAAUUUCUUCUAAAGCUAAAUACCGGCCAGAGACCGAUAGCGCACAAGUAGAGUGAUCGAAAGAUGAAAAGCACUUUGAAAAGAGGGUUAAAUAGCACGUGAAAUUGUUGAAAGGGAAGCGCUUGUGACCAGACUUGCGCCUGGCUGAUCAUCCGGUGUUCUCACCGGUGCACUCUGCCAGGCUCAGGCCAGCAUCGGUUCUCGCGGGGGGAUAAAGGCCCUGGGAACGUAGCUCCUCCGGGAGUGUUAUAGCCCAGGGUGCAAUGCCCUCGCGGGGACCGAGGUUCGCGCAUCUGCAAGGAUGCUGGCGUAAUGGUCAUCAGCGACCCGUCUUGAAACACGGACCAAGGAGUCAAGGUUUUGCGCGAGUGUUUGGGUGUAAAACCCGCACGCGUAAUGAAAGUGAACGUAGGUGAGAGCUUCGGCGCAUCAUCGACCGAUCCUGAUGUUUUCGGAUGGAUUUGAGUAGGAGCGUUAAGCCUUGGACCCGAAAGAUGGUGAACUAUGCUUGGAUAGGGUGAAGCCAGAGGAAACUCUGGUGGAGGCUCGCAGCGGUUCUGACGUGCAAAUCGAUCGUCAAAUCUGAGCAUGGGGGGCGAAAGACUAAUCGAACCAUCUAGUAGCUGGUUACCGCCGAAG
Molecule: ribosomal RNA, 859 nt
Filed under: Humicola fuscoatra var. fuscoatra
Lineage: Eukaryota; Fungi; Ascomycota; Sordariomycetes; Sordariales; Chaetomiaceae
Description: LSU rRNA
Rfam family: Eukaryotic large subunit ribosomal RNA
Source: RNAcentral